CAGUAGCCACGGUAAUACGGAGGAUCCAAGCGUUAUCCGGAAUCAUUGGGUUUAAAGGGUCCGUAGGCGGUCUUGUAAGUCAGUGGUGAAAGCCCAUCGCUCAACGGUGGAACGGCCAUUGAUACUGCAGGACUUGAAUUAUUGGGAAGUAACUAGAAUAUGUAGUGUAGCGGUGAAAUGCUUAGAGAUUACAUGGAAUACCAAUUGCGAAGGCAGGUUACUACCAAUUGAUUGACGCUGAUGGACGAAAGCGUGGGUAGCGAACAGGAUUAGAUACCCCCGUAGUCCCUGUCUCUUAUAU
RNAcentral lists this ribosomal RNA (301 nucleotides) under uncultured bacterium. RNAcentral describes it as "partial 16S ribosomal RNA". It matches the Rfam family "Bacterial small subunit ribosomal RNA", at positions 509 to 809 of the family's 1533-position model. The record is from RNAcentral.